This 378-nucleotide ribosomal RNA is filed under the name uncultured eukaryote. RNAcentral describes it as "partial 18S ribosomal RNA". It matches the Rfam family "Eukaryotic small subunit ribosomal RNA", at positions 592 to 976 of the family's 1831-position model. The record is from RNAcentral.
CAAUAGCGUAUAUUUAAGUUGUUGCAGUUAAAAAGCUCGUAGUUGGAUUUCGGGUGGGACGCAGCGGUCUCGCAUUGCGUUUGUACUGCUGCAGCCCUCCUUCUUGCCGGGGGCGGCCUCUCGGACUUCACUGUCUGGGGGUCGGAAUCGGCGAUGUUACUUUGAGUAAAUUAGAGUGUUCAAAGCAAGCUUACGCUCUGAAUAUAAUAGCAUGGGAUAACACGACAGGACUCUGGCCUAUCGUGUUGGUCUAUAGGACCAGAGUAAUGAUUAAGAGGGACAGUCGGGGGCAUUCGUAUUCCGUUGUCAGAGGUGAAAUUCUUGGAUUUACGGAAGACGAACAUCUGCGAAAGCAUUUGCCAAGGAUGUUUUCAUUGA